Molecule: ribosomal RNA, 673 nt
Filed under: uncultured marine eukaryote
Lineage: Eukaryota
Description: SSU rRNA
Rfam family: Eukaryotic small subunit ribosomal RNA
Source: RNAcentral
UAUCUGGUUGAUCCUGCCAGUAGUUAUAUGCUUGUCUCAAAGAUUAAGCCAUGCAUGUCUUAGUAUAAGCUUUUAUACGGUUAAACUGCGAAUGGCUCAUUAAAACAGUUAUCGUUUUCAUGACUUUUAUUUAUUAUUUGGAUAACUAUGGUAAUUCUAGAGCUAAUACAUGCGUACAAACCUGACUUUUAGGAAAGGCUGUGCUUAUUAGAUACAGAACCGACCCAGGUUUCCCUGGUUUUGUGUUGAUUCAUGAUGCCCAAACAGAUUGCACGUUUACACGGCAACGCGUUAUUCAAGUUUCUGACCUAUCAGCUUCCGACGGUAGGGUAUUGGCCUACCGUGGCUUUGACGGGUAACGGAGAAUUAGGGUCGAUUCCGGAGAGGGAGCCUGAGAAACGGCUACCACAUCUAAGGAAGGCAGCAGGCGCCCAAAUUACCCUAUCCUGACAUGGGGAGGUAGUGACAAGAAAUACCAGUACCGAGAAUUCCGAUUUCGUAAUUGGGAUGAGAAGAACUUAAAACUAUUUUCGAGUAUCAAUUGGAGGGCAAGUCUGGUGGCAGCAGCCGCGGUAAUUCCAGCUUCCAUAGCGUAUAUUAAAGUUGGUGCGGUAAAACGCUCGUAGUGGAGUCUUGCAAAAGUGGCCGGCUACCCUCCGUGGUUGCACAGGCA